Danaus plexippus (monarch butterfly) is the source of this 3612-nucleotide long non-coding RNA. RefSeq lists it as uncharacterized. NCBI's taxonomy places the organism in Eukaryota, Metazoa, Arthropoda, Insecta, Lepidoptera, Nymphalidae. The record is from RefSeq and is a predicted model, not a curated record. The transcript has 2 exons.
CACGUUCGCGUUGUAGUUCUCGUUCCAGCCUCUUGACUCGCUCCCAAUCGGCGUCCAGUUUCCUCUCCUGGUUGGGACAACGACAUCGGCUGCGAGUACGAGAUCGGCUGACGCUCGUAUCGCCUCUGCCUCAGUUGCGGCUGUCAGUGCGCGUACGUCUGGGGUCCCCAUCGGACCCGCCUUCACAUCGACUACGCGAAGGUGUCUCCAAAUUUCCACGUUGACUAUCCUCAUCCAUAUUCUACGACUCAAAAUGGCAGUAAAACUAUUUCGAGGUCUUUCAGUCUCUUAGUAUAUUAAAUAAUUAAAAUAAUAAUAAAUAAAUAAGUAACAUUUAUCAGAAUACCUCCCUCAAUAUCACCUAACAAAAUGUACAACACAUAAUGAGAUCUAAGAUUUUCGCGAGUAUUCAUUUAAAUGAAUACUCGCGAAAAUCUUAGAUCUCAUUAUGUGAAACAGUACGGACUGGAAAUCGCAAACAGAAUACGCCGGUUGGAGUACCUCAAGACGAAGAAAGCCAAACUAUUACCAUCCUUGAAUUUCCUCAAGAGAUGCCGGGAUCACGACAUCAUACCAACAUGUGUCAAAAUAUCACCAAAAAAAGACAUCAAACAUAGCGGCAGGAUACUCCAUCAGGCAAGUAAACGGUUACUUUGUCAUCUUAUUAGACAACAUCGGUCGGAUGCACGGCAGUUAGAUUUUCAAAUUCCGCGUAGUAAAUCCGAAUAACACUAGUUUCAUUUAAAUGUACAACACAAUUUAUCGUUACAAUAGAGAUACAGGUAUAUUUCGUACAAUUACCACAUACAAUACGGCGGACUACAGAUUGAAAGUGGUGCACAAGAUAAAAGUCUUAAAUUUAUCUGUAACAAACUAGAAUAUUAAAUAAUAACAGAAAUAACAGCAAUGAUAAUAUCACAAUAUACACAUGUACCAAUACUUAUCAAUGUUAGACGUUGAUAUCUAAAUAUACGAGAAUAAAUACAGUAAUCCCCCUUAUUACACGGUAUAUUUGUUCCGCGGUAUAGGAAAACGCGUUGUACGAAAAUUCUCGUAAAACGCGCUCGUAUGACCUCGUAUAACGCGUUAUAUACAAAUGAUUCACGUUUAACUUUUCUUGUUAAAGAGGGUUUAAAUCGAAUAUUAAGGAAAAACUAUGUUAUGGCGUCUGUAUUAAUUAAAAUUUCACUAUCUAAUGAUUCUUCGUUUUCUAUUUUAUGUUUUUUCUGCAUUCUUACAUAUGGUGCAAGACAGUAUUGAAGAUUUAUUUUAAAUUCAGAAUCCCCGAGUUAAAUGAGGAAAAUCACGUGGGGAAUCCCCGUGUUAUAUGGGGGACAUGAAAUCGCGUUAUACGAAAACGAGUUAUAAGAGUACCGUGUUAUAGGGGGGAUUACUGUACUACUUAUCUCAAUAAAUCGGGUUUUAUUUCACACCAUAUGAGUUCAAAAUUAAAAAGGUAAUUGAAUACAUAAUAAUUUUAUUAAAAUGUUAUUGAAAUUCAAAAUAAAAUAACAGAAAAAUGUAAUGGCGAUAAAUCAUUUUAAAAGACCUCGUCUGCCCGUGAUCACGGUUGCUGCAAAGUAACCGAAACGUCGGGAUUAUGUAGUUUUUAAAUAAUAAAAUCCGCGUAGUAAAUCCGAAUAACACUAGUUUCAUUUAAACAUUUUAAAAGGUUUAUAUGCUUACUUACUACUACUGUUAUCGCACUUCUAAAUUGUAGAAAUACCUCCUCAUUAUAGGACAUUCAUGGAGUAUAGUAGACAAAUAGAGAUAGUAGAGAUUUACAAUUUCGAUUUAUUACAAUACUCUCACACGCGUAUACACCAAGUAUUUUUGAACAGCUCUCACCCCCGUCCGACCACUGUUUACUCUUUUUAUCUCUACCCCAUUGAUGUUCUACUUUAGUCAUCCCUUCCUCCGACAAUGUUGCCAGAGGCUAAUAUUACAAUAAUUAUCUUUGUAUAAACAAAAUCUAAUUAAUUUUUUACAAUGUUUGGAUGGUCUUACAAAUAAGUUUUGAUGACAAUAAUAUUGUUUUAAAUAUAAAUUAUCGACAUUAAUUUUCCCUCGGUUUUCAUUAUUUUUUAAACAUAACCUUACAUCCGAUCUCUCGCUCGAUAAAGUUGAAUCCAUCUUAGAACAACUAGUUGUGAAACCAAAACGAUCUGAAGCGGAUGGAAGGUUCAUUAUGGGUUUCCGAGCAGCUAGAGACAAAAUGCUUAAACAUUAUAAGAAAAGACGUUCUCUUCAUCUGACUACGCUUUGCUCUAGUGUUGGUGGAAUGCCGUGGAAAGCAAUACGAGGAAGUUCAGGUUCUUGAACGUCGGGAUCCCUAUAUAGACUGACACUUUUGGUCAAUUCAUUUGGGCUCUUAAAAUGGUCGUUAAUUUGUUUGUUGGUCAAGGGAAACUUUCAAGGGUUUUCAAAUGCUCAAAAGGGUAUUUUUCAUAAUCUACUUCAUGUUUUGCCCGGUCGAAAUAUCACGGUUUUCACGAUCACGAUAUUCCUUGAAUUAUUUUUAGAAUUGACCUUAACGCCCUAGCUAGUGGAUGACUAAGAUGAUAGUCGCUUAGGGCUUUGGUUAUACGUAGAUUUUUUUUGUAUUAAUUCCCGUUUUCCCUCCUUUUUUUAUCUUGCAAGAAUUGUCUUUGUUUUUGCGAGCGUAACGAUUUUGAGGUAGAUAUUGUUCGCUAAAGUAGGUGUAAUUUUCAAAAACAUGAAUGUGGGUGCCAUACCGCAUCGCUGGGUCAUAAUGGAUUAAUGCUCAAUGAUUUAAGGCUUUCUUAAUUAUAGUAUGCACCAUAUUAUGUGCUUGGAAAUUAGAAACAUGCAAGCCAUAGAGUCGAGUAUUGAAAAGAUAAAUGAGCGUAUAUUCAGUGUAAUUAAAAUAAUCGUAUAUAGUAGAACCUAAUAUGAUCGCGUCAUCUCUUCCUUUUCCAUAAUAUAUAUAAAGUAAAUUAAAGUUUUCGAUAAACCAAUAACCUCUUCAGUGCAAACUAUUUGAGAAUAAAGAUAAUAGUUGCCUUUAUAUUCUAACUGUUAAACCUUUAUACUACGCAAUGUUAUCUUAGGUUUCGUUUAAGUUCCACCGGUUUUUAUGUUCGCAACUCAAUAAAACAUUGAUUCGACAAUUCGCCAUAAAUCGUAGUUAAGAUUAACCAACAAUAAGUCAGUGGUCCGACUUUGAAUCUUGAGUUAAAUCAAAAUGCAAGGAAUUUAUGUGGCAAUAAAAGGUUUUAAUUAAGAAAAUGUAUAAAAUUUUACGUCUCAUAAAUGUAACGAUCUAGGCAAGGUUCAAAGUAUUGCUUUUUUACGACGAAAAUGAAUAUAUUUAAAAUUUACUUCUGGGAAAGUAAAUUGUUGAACAUCGCAUUUCUUUUGCUUACAAUACGCGCUUUAGAAAGCAAAGUUGUAUCAAAAUUGUCUAGAAGUUUAAACAACCCUUAUCACCCCGAGGACGAUCUCAUCACAGCUGACAUUGACAGUGACAACCAGAAAUAUGAUAGCGAAUCUGACAUUAGCGCUGUCAAAAUAAUGCAAACUAACAGCAGAUUAAAAAUAAACGGAAAAUAUUUCGAAACGGAUAAAAUAAAACAAUGAGAUUUUUUUUUA